This 497-nucleotide ribosomal RNA is filed under the name uncultured bacterium. Its description in RNAcentral is "partial 16S ribosomal RNA". It matches the Rfam family "Bacterial small subunit ribosomal RNA", at positions 28 to 507 of the family's 1533-position model. The record is from RNAcentral.
GACGAACGCUGGCGGCGUGCCUAAUACAUGCAAGUUGAGCGCUGAAGGUUGGUACUUGUACCAACUGGAUGAGCAGCGAACGGGUGAGUAACGCGUGGGGAAUCUGCCUUUGAGCGGGGGACAACAUUUGGAAACGAAUGCUAAUACCGCAUAAAAACUUUAAACACAAGUUUUAAGUUUGAAAGAUGCAAUUGCAUCACUCAAAGAUGAUCCCGCGUUGUAUUAGCUAGUUGGUGAGGUAAAGGCUCACCAAGGCGAUGAUACAUAGCCGACCUGAGAGGGGGAUCGGCCACAUUGGGACUGAGACACGGCCCAAACUCCUACGGGAGGCAGCAGUAGGGAAUCCUCGGCAAGGGACGAAAGUCUGACCGAGCGACGCCGCGUGAGUGAAGAAGGUUUUCGGAUCGGAAAACUCUGUUGGUAGAGAAGAACGUUGGUGAGAGUGGAAAGCUCAUCAAGUGACGGUAACUACACAGAAAGGGACGGCUAACUACGUG